GACGAACGCUGGCGGCGUGCCUAAUACAUGCAAGUUGAGCGAUGAAGAUUGGUGCUUGCACCAAUUUGAAGAGCAGCGAACGGGUGAGUAACGCGUGGGGAAUCUGCCUUUGAGCGGGGGACAACAUUUGGAAACGAAUGCUAAUACCGCAUAACAACUUUAAACAUAAGUUUUAAGUUUGAAAGAUGCAAUUGCAUCACUCAAAGAUGAUCCCGCGUUGUAUUAGCUAGUUGGUGAGGUAAAGGCUCACCAAGGCGAUGAUACAUAGCCGACCUGAGAGGGUGAUCGGCCACAUUGGGACUGAGACACGGCCCAAACUCCUACGGGAGGCAGCAGUAGGGAAUCUUCGGCAAUGGACGAAAGUCUAACCGAGCAACGCCGCGUGAGUGAAGAAGGUUUUCGGAUCGUAAAACUCUGUUGGUAGAGAAGAACGUUGGUGAGAGUGGAAAGCUCAUCAAGUGACGGUAACUACCCAGAAAGGGACGGCUAACUACGUG
Molecule: ribosomal RNA, 497 nt
Filed under: uncultured bacterium
Lineage: Bacteria
Description: partial 16S ribosomal RNA
Rfam family: Bacterial small subunit ribosomal RNA
Source: RNAcentral